AACGCGAAGAACCUUACCUAAGCUUGACAUCCUUUUGACCUCUCCCUAAUCGGAGAUUUCCCUUCGGGGACAAAAGUGACAGGUGGUGCAUGGUUGUCGUCAGCUCGUGUCGUGAGAUGUUGGGUUAAGUCCCGCAACGAGCGCAACCCUUGUCUCAUGUUGCCAGCGCGUAAUGGCGGGGACUCGUGAGAGACUGCCGGGGUCAACUCGGAGGAAGGUGGGGAUGACGUCAAGUCAUCAUGCCCCUUAUGUCCAGGGCUUCACACAUGCUACAAUGGCCGGUACAAAGGGCUGCGAUGCCGUGAGGUGGAGCGAAUCCUUUUUAAAGCCGGUCUCAGUUCGGAUCGGGGUCUGCAACUCGACCCCGUGAAGUCGGAGUCGCUAGUAAUCGCAGAUCAGCAACGCUGCGGUGAAUACGUUCCCGGGUCUUGUACACACCG
RNAcentral lists this ribosomal RNA (440 nucleotides) under uncultured bacterium. RNAcentral describes it as "bacterial SSU rRNA". It matches the Rfam family "Bacterial small subunit ribosomal RNA", at positions 958 to 1392 of the family's 1533-position model. The record is from RNAcentral.